RNAcentral lists this ribosomal RNA (1749 nucleotides) under Symphypleona sp. 1 SF-2017. RNAcentral describes it as "SSU rRNA". It matches the Rfam family "Eukaryotic small subunit ribosomal RNA". The record is from RNAcentral. Lineage: Eukaryota; Metazoa; Arthropoda; Collembola; Symphypleona.
AGUCAUAUGCUUGUCUCAAAGAUUAAGCCAUGCAUGUCUAAGUUCAAGCGAAAAUAAAGUGAAACCGCGAAUGGCUCAUUACAUCAGUUAUGGUUCCUUAGAUCGCACUUACUACUUGGAUAACUGUGGUAAUUCUAGAGCUAAUACAUGCACUGAGCCCCAACCCUCGUGGAAGGGGCGCUUUUAUUAGAUCAAAGCCAAUCGGGUCUUCGGAUCCGUCUUGUUGGUGACUCUGAAUAACUUUGCUGAUCGUAUGGUCUUGUACCGACGACGUAUCUUUCAAGUGUCUGCCUUAUCAACUGUCGAUGGUAGGUUAUGCGCCUACCAUGGUUGUAACGGGUAACGGGGAAUCAGGGUUCGAUUCCGGAGAGGGAGCCUGAGAAACGGCUACCACAUCCAAGGAAGGCAGCAGGCGCGCAAAUUACCCACUCCCGGCACGGGGAGGUAGUGACGAAAAAUAACGAUACGGAACUCAUACGAGGCUCCGUAAUCGGAAUGAGUACACUUUAAAUCCUUUAACGAGGAUCUAUUGGAGGGCAAGUCUGGUGCCAGCAGCCGCGGUAAUUCCAGCUCCAAUAGCGUAUAUUAAAGUUGUUGCGGUUAAAAAGCUCGUAGUUGGAUCUCGGUUUCGGGCGGAUGGUGCGCUUUUGGGUGUUUACUGUCUGCCCGGACGAUUUUGUCAGUUCGUUCGUGGUUCUCUUAACCGAGUGCCACGGGUGGCUGGCACGUUUACUUUGAAAAAAUUGGAGUGCUCAAAGCAGGCGCUACAGCCUGAACAUUAGUGCAUGGAAUAAUGGAAUAGGAUCUCGGUUCUAUUUCGUUGGCUUUCGGAGUCGAGGUAAUGAUUAAUAGGAACAGACGGGGGCAUUAGUACUGCGACGUUAGAGGUGAAAUUCUUGGAUCGUCGCAAGACUAACUACUGCGAAAGCAUUUGCCAAGAAUGUUUUCAUUAAUCAAGAACGAAAGUUAGAGGUUCGAAGGCGAUCAGAUACCGCCCUAGUUCUAACCAUAAACGAUGCCUACCGGCGAUCCGCUGUCGUUAAUUGAAUGACUCAGCGGGCAGCCUCCGGGAAACCAGAGUCUUUGGGUUCCGGGGGAAGUAUGGUUGCAAAGCUGAAACUUAAAGGAAUUGACGGAAGGGCACCACCAGGAGUGGAGCCUGCGGCUUAAUUUGACUCAACACGGGAAAUCUCACCAGGCCCGGACACCGGAAGGAUUGACAGAUUGAGAGCUCUUUCUUGAUUCGGUGGGUGGUGGUGCAUGGCCGUUCUUAGUUGGUGGAGCGAUUUGUCUGGUUAAUUCCGAUAACGAACGAGACUCUGACCUAUUAACUAGAUGCUGGAUCCCUUUGUGGGUCCGACACAGCUUCUUAGAGGGACUGGCGGCGUUUAGCCGCACGAGAUUGAGCAAUAACAGGUCUGUGAUGCCCUUAGAUGUUCUGGGCUGCACGCGCGCUACACUGAAGGUAUCAGCGUGUGUUCCCGAUCCGAAAGGAUUGGGAAACCCGUUGAACCACCUUCGUGAUGGGGAUUGGGGAUUGCAAUUAUUCCCCAUGAACGAGGAAUUCCCAGUAGGCGCGAGUCAUAAGCUUGCGUCGAUUACGUCCCUGCCCUUUGUACACACCGCCCGUCGCUACUACCGAUCGAGUGAUUUAGUGAGGCCUUCGGACUGGUCUUCGUGGUGGCCUUCGGGUCAUGACGGAAUGCCGGAAAGAUGGCCAAACUUGAUCACUUAAAAGGAAGUAAAAGU